RNAcentral lists this transfer RNA (65 nucleotides) under Philophylla fossata. RNAcentral's name for it is "tRNA-Ile". Lineage: Eukaryota; Metazoa; Arthropoda; Insecta; Diptera; Tephritidae. The record is from RNAcentral.
AAUGAAUUGCCUGAUAAAAGGGUUACUUUGAUAGAGUAAAUAAUGUAAUUUUAUUACAUUCAUUA